This is a small nucleolar RNA of Mugil cephalus (flathead mullet), 215 nucleotides long. RefSeq annotates it as small nucleolar RNA U3. The transcript has a single exon. NCBI's taxonomy places the organism in Eukaryota, Metazoa, Chordata, Actinopteri, Mugiliformes, Mugilidae. The record is from RefSeq and is a predicted model, not a curated record.
AAGACUAUACUUUCAGGGAUCAUUUCUGUAGUUUCUGACUUGAGAAAUGUGCUUCUAAAGUGUAUGGUCUCGCUAACCAUGAUGAUGAGUUAUGAUGUUUCCUUCUGAGCAUGAAGUGGACAGAGAUUAACAGUCCAUUUCAUAUGUUCUCUGUCAUUGAUGACUGUUCAGUGUUUCUAUGUAAGCACAGAUGAAGGGAAUACGUUCAGAGUGGU